This 236-nucleotide long non-coding RNA is filed under the name Solanum tuberosum (potato). RNAcentral describes it as "long non-coding RNA (STUB_LNC001114)". Lineage: Eukaryota; Viridiplantae; Streptophyta; Magnoliopsida; Solanales; Solanaceae. The record is from RNAcentral.
AUGGACAAGUUGACAAAUCUGAGGCUAUUAAAUAUGCCUUUAGGUAAGUUUAUGAAGAGAAUCGACCUGGGGGUUUUCCACGAGUUACAAAGGCUUGAAAUGUUACAUCUACCCAUAAGACGUAGAGAUGUUGCAGGAAGAGUUCUAUUUCUUGAGCUACUUCAUCCAUUGACAAGACGUAGAGAUGUUGUUGAAGCAACUUCUUUUGAUGAGAUAUCACAUCUACCCAAUNNNNN